CCUACGGGCGGCAGCAGUGAGGAAUAUUUGUCAAUGGACGAGAGUCUGAACCAGCCAAGUAGCGUGAAGGAUGACUGCCCUAUGGGUUGUAAACUUCUUUUAUAUGGGAAUAAAAUGUUCCACGUGUGGGAUUUUGUAUGUACCAUAUGAAUAAGGAUCGGCUAACUCCGUGCCAGCAGCCGCGGUAAUACGGAGGAUCCGAGCGUUAUCCGGAUUUAUUGGGUUUAAAGGGAGCGUAGGUGGAUUGUUAAGUCAGGUGUGAAAGUUUGCGGCUCAACCGUAAAAUUGCAGUUGAAACUGGCAGUCUUGAGUACAGUAGAGGUGGGCGGAAGUCGUGGUGUAGCGGUGAAAUGCUUAGAUAUCACGAAGAACUCCGAUUGCGAAGGCAGUUCACUGGACUGCAACUGACACUGAGGCUCGAAAGUGUGGGUAUCAAACAGGAUUAGAUACCCCAGUAGUC
This 460-nucleotide ribosomal RNA is filed under the name uncultured bacterium. RNAcentral describes it as "partial 16S ribosomal RNA". It matches the Rfam family "Bacterial small subunit ribosomal RNA", at positions 338 to 795 of the family's 1533-position model. The record is from RNAcentral.